UUGCAGUGGGCAAGUCCUUUACGAUCAGCUCCCUUUGAACUCCCCCAGGGCGGGAACGAAGCAAGGGUAGGAGGUUGUAGCGGUGCGAUAAAGGUUGCUUGCCCAUUU
Molecule: non-coding RNA, 108 nt
Rfam family: Bacteroidales small SRP
About the family: The non-coding component of the signal recognition particle in Bacteroides
Source: Rfam